Molecule: ribosomal RNA, 395 nt
Filed under: Candidatus Pacearchaeota archaeon
Lineage: Archaea; Nanobdellati
Description: partial 23S ribosomal RNA
Rfam family: Archaeal large subunit ribosomal RNA
Source: RNAcentral
GGUACAUCGCUGUCGGCUCUCCCUAUCCUGCGCGUGCAGAAGCGUGCAAGGGUGUCGGAGUUCACGCAUUAAAAGGGAUCGUUAGCUGGGUUAAGAACGCCGUGAGGCAGUUUGUAUGAUAUCUACUAGGUGUGUUGUUGGGUGAGUGGAACAAGCUUAUAGUACGAGAGGAACUAAGCUUGGAUGCCUCUGGUGAGCAGUUGUCAUUUGGCAGGCUGCAUAGCUACGCAUUGUUUGGAUAAGAGCUGAAUGCAUCUAAGCUCGAAGCCAUCCGCAAAACGACCCAACUGAGGCCGUUAAAGAAGAUAACGUUGAUAGAGUUGGAGUGUAAGAUUCAAGUGCGCAAGCACGAGAAUUUCAGCUCACAACUACUAAAAGCCUCUUUUGUAGUAUUC